This 283-nucleotide unclassified non-coding RNA is filed under the name plant metagenome. Its description in RNAcentral is "partial contains small subunit ribosomal RNA, internal transcribed spacer 1, and 5.8S ribosomal RNA". The stretch from base 235 to 283 matches the Rfam family "5.8S ribosomal RNA", at positions 1 to 49 of the family's 154-position model. The record is from RNAcentral.
UUUCCGUAGGUGAACCUGCGGAAGGAUCAUUAUUGUAUAACCGAGGUGCGAGGGCUGUCGCUGACCCGAAAGGUCGUGCACGCCCGAGUGCCCUCACACACAUCCAUCUCACCCCUAUGUGCACCACCGCGUGGGUCCCCCUUUGGCUUGUUCGGAGGGGGGCUUACGUUUUCACACAAACUUUGUAUGCAGUGUAGAAUGUAUUUUUUGUUUUUGCGAUCACGCAAUCAAUACAACUUUCAACAACGGAUCUCUUGGCUCUCCCAUCGAUGAAGAACGCAGC